UUCCACAGGUUACAAUAUCGAGACUUCAAACACUUUACCGGUGAUACCACCAUCGGCGGUCCCUCCGGCUACUGCCGUUAAACCGGAAGCAACGGCCAGAAACAGCAGUAAUGCUGGAGCUCCAGGGUCAUCUCCACCACCUAUGACAAAUAAAUCAACCCAGCUUAAAGCUUUGUCGUAUGUAUUCACAAUUGCUCUAGUCCUAUAUUUUGCUCUAAUUUAAUUUUUUUUAAUUGCAAAGUGCCCCUCACCUAGACCCUGUACCAUAGGGUAUGUUAUUGUUUUAGGAUUAUACAAUGGGGGAAACAUUUUUUAACUUACUAUAGUUUUGUUUUUUCAUGUUAGUGGCAUAAUUACACAGCUUUGUAAAUAUGUUUUGAUUUUGAUAAAUGAGAAUAAUUUUUACAGCAUUUACUUACAUUUCUAAGUUAUAAAAUUUUGGUGUUUCCUGCUUUUUCUUUUUCUUUAAAUUUAUAAUUUCCGAUAAAAAUUAUAUAAUAUAUCAAAGUUUUGUGUAGAUAUAUAAUACUUUCAACAUCAUGGUAAAAAAAGUCUAAUUAGCCAUUAAAUUUGUUAAUUAUGUUACUUCCAAAAUUUUAUGAGAGAAAAAUAUUAUUAUAUAGAUAAUGUCAUGUCAUUUUGUUAUUUUUAGAUGAACUAAAUCUAUAAUUUACGUAAAAUUUAAUCUAACGGAUUUAACUAUUAUUAUUUAAUUCAUGACUGAAAUUUUAAAAUUAAAAAAAAAAUACAGUGAUUAAAAUGGGCUAAAUUAGAGCAAGAGAAUAAUUUCAGAACUUAUGCAUAGCAUAGGGACUAAUAGAAGAAUUUGACCUAUCUUAUAUAACUUGAUGUACUCACCAAUUUGACAAAGCUAAAUGCAAUGAUACGAUGUAAAUACUAUAGCAAUUUUGAAAAUAAAAGACGAAAACAAAUAGUAAAAUAUGAUACCAAAAGAAUAAUGUGAACCAACAUGAAUUAUUAAUACGUAAAAGGUUACAUAAAAUGUAAAAAUACAAUAUAUCUAACAAAAGAAAAUAUAAAUGGACUAAUCAGCUUACAUUAGACAUAAACAUGGGUUAAAGCCAAGUUUCUAAAGCUCACUUGAUAUCUGGUAGACUUUUGAAAAAAAAAAUAUGUGAAGGUUUAAUCAAAGUUUCAAUCAUUAAUUUACAAUUAUGAUAGAAAAAUCUAGAUAGAAUUUGAUAUUCAUAUUUCAGAUUGAUUUGAUCUUAAGUUUUAGUACGUAUCUAUGAUGUUAAUACUAUACUGGUGAGGGAUUUUUUUUUUUUUAGAGAAGUUUGUGAAGUGUCAUUUGUUUAGAGCUAGUGGACCCCUCAACAAGUUCGAUAUGUCCCAGAUGAUGAUUUUGUCUCCCAACUCUGCUGAAAGCACGAGUCCUUAUAAAGGUUGUUUUAAGAGACACUAAGACUUUUAACAAAGUUGAGAGACAAAACUCUCACCAGGACAAUAUCAAAUUUAUUUACGAGUCCACCAAUUCCAGACAAACGACUCAACAUAUACAUUUAGUUAACCCGGACCCGUGAACACCUUUUGCAAAGUAUAAUACAAAAGAGCAAAAAGGUUAGCCUUAAUUUGAUAAAGUUAAGAGACUUAGGGAACAAGCUUUAUAAGCACAAAUAACUACUCUGAUUGUUACACCCUAACCUCUUCCCUUUUGAACAAACGAGAAUCUAUCUUUUUCCUGUUGUUGUAUCAAACAUUAGCAAUGGCUACAAGCCUCAGCCUAAUCCCCAUUAUAGAUAAAUUUCAUAAAACUACCCAACUUAAAAAUAAAUGAAUAAAUAAAUAUUAGAGAAUUAGCCAACUCAAAUUUUAACUAAAUAUAUCGAUUUAAUUACAUGCUAUUUACAUGUAAAAAAUUAGUAAAUUAAUCCUAACAAACCAUAGUUACAAAUAUCACACACAAAAAAAAGGAAAAAAAAAGAAAAAAAAAUUGGAUUAUUUUCAAUAUGGAUAUGAAAAUGACAAAGAUCAGUUGCAUGGGGAUUUUGUGGUAGGGUGAAGCAUGCUUAAUAAACACUACAUCAUAAUUUUUUCUUCAAGCAUUUCAUUACUAUAUGCAAUGGGGCCACCUAUGGGUGACCUUUGUUACUAGCAGAUCCUUUGGCUCACUAUAAAUAAUCUCUAUGAAUCUCUAAACUUUCCCAUACAAAACGAGCUAAAAGCUACUUUGAAUUUGAUAAAAGAAGACAAAGUGGUUUUUAAAAUGGCUUUACUCAUAGCAGUACUGACCUUAGUUUUGCUUGUGUCUGCGUCGACUUCACCAGCCAUUGCUCUUAGCUUGAAUCAUUAUGAGAAAACCUGUCCUGAUGUUGAGUCGAUAGUUGCAAAAGCUGUCGAGC
This 2363-nucleotide long non-coding RNA is filed under the name Gossypium barbadense (sea-island cotton). RNAcentral describes it as "long non-coding RNA (GBAR_LNC014614)". Lineage: Eukaryota; Viridiplantae; Streptophyta; Magnoliopsida; Malvales; Malvaceae. The record is from RNAcentral.